UUUUAACAAUUUAACAGUUUUGCGUUUGGAAGUGAGGUUUAAUUCCUCCACUGUGCCGCAACGGUAAUCUCCUCCGACUCUGGUCGGGAGAGGAGUCCGGUCGUUACGCAAAGCAUGUGUCCCGAGCAGGAUAUUCGAAAGGUAAAAAUUCUGCUCCGC
This 159-nucleotide small RNA is filed under the name Candidatus Nomuraibacteriota. The record is from RNAcentral.